RNAcentral lists this long non-coding RNA (1370 nucleotides) under Homo sapiens (human). RNAcentral's name for it is "non-protein coding lnc-RTP5-8:2". Lineage: Eukaryota; Metazoa; Chordata; Mammalia; Primates; Hominidae. The record is from RNAcentral.
AGCAUGGCCAGGGGCGGGGCUUCCCUGAGGCGCGCCGAGAGGCGGUGGCCCACUUCCGGCAAUAAUCGCCUGGUCGCCGUCAGGUGCCGGCCCAGGUGGCAGGCGCGCCCGUUGGGCACUGGGGGACGCGGGCGCGUCAGGUGAAGACUGGGGGCUGCAGGCGCGCUAGGAGAACUAUGCCAUUUUUGGGUCAGGACUGGAGAUCUCCUGGAUGGAGUUGGAUUAAGACAGAAGAUGGCUGGAAGAAUUGUGAAUCUUGUAGUCAGAAACUUGAAAGAGAGAAUAACCAUUGUAACAUCAGUCACAGCAUUAUCUUAAAUAGCGAAGAUGGAGAAAUACUCAAUAAUGAAGAGCAUGAAUAUGCAUCCAAAAAAAGAAAAAGGACCAUUUUAGAAAUGACACAAAUACUCAAACUGAUCCAUAUGAAUUCCUCUUAUUAAGAAAAAUAAAGCAUCCAGGAUUCAAUGAAGAACUGACUAUCACCUUGUUAAUCAUUCAGAAACAUGUUGCAGACUUAAGCCAUUUUUGAUAUAGAUACUGAAACAAUUACUUGCUAAGAGCAAACUUGAAGUAACAAUUUGGACAAGACAGCAAAUGCUAUUGUCGAAGUUUUCUAAAGAAGAAUCUGAAGUGAAAUGACAUCAAGAGACCUAUCAAGACCUGUAUCCAGGAAAAGACCAAACCAAUGCAGACCAAACCAAUGCAGAACUCCUAUGUGCUGAUGGUGGUCUUACAUUUCCCUAAGUUUCUGCCGACUAAACUGUGCACACGUUCUCAGGACCUCCUGAAGCUGCGUCACAGGCACUAAUCAAAGAACACAACCAAGAGUUUGGCCUUUUCUUCAGCACUGGGAAUUGUGAUCCAAAGCUUUUCCUGAUGAAGCACAAAGUUGGAGAAAAAAAAGCAAACUAAACAACAACAAUGAAACAGAACAGAGUUAAUCUGCUGUAGCUCAAGAGAGGAUGUACCUGCCCCCACCCCGCAUCCCUGGGCUCGGGUUUGCCUUGCUGACCUCUGCUGCCACCUGGUGCCACACAGAGAAACUGAGGAGAAACCACAUCAGUCUCCUUCAGCCUCAGCUUCACAUCUGUGGGUCAAGUAACCCUUUCAGAAGCUGAAUAAUGUGGGAAAGCUUUCCUCUCAGGAAAAUGCACACAUCCAACUUUGAGAAGAUGCCCUUGGGGGUGCUUCAAGGAUCCUAGAUAAAGAACCCCCUUUCCCGAACAUCCAAGAACCUAAGUUUUUUUUUUUUUUUUUGAGAAAGUCUCGCUCUCUCUCCCAGUCUGGAGUGCAGUGGCGUGAUCUUGGCUCACUGCAAGCUCCACCUCCCAGGUUCACGCCAUUCUCCUGCCUCAGCCUCCCGAGUAGCU